GGCGGACGGGUGAGUAACACGUGGGUAACCUGCCUGUAAGACUGGGAUAACUCCGGGAAACCGGGGCUAAUACCGGAUGGUUGUUUGAACCGCAUGGUUCAAACAUAAAAGGUGGCUUCGGCUACCACUUACAGAUGGACCCGCGGCGCAUUAGCUAGUUGGUGAGGUAACGGCUCACCAAGGCAACGAUGCGUAGCCGACCUGAGAGGGUGAUCGGCCACACUGGGACUGAGACACGGCCCAGACUCCUACGGGAGGCAGCAGUAGGGAAUCUUCCGCAAUGGACGAAAGUCUGACGGAGCAACGCCGCGUGAGUGAUGAAGGUUUUCGGAUCGUAAAGCUCUGUUGUUAGGGAAGAACAAGUACCGUUCGAAUAGGGCGGUACCUUGACGGUACCUAACCAGAAAGCCACGGCUAACUACGUGCCAGCAGCCGCGGUAAUACGUAGGUGGCAAGCGUUGUCCGGAAUUAUUGGGCGUAAAGGGCUCGCAGGCGGUUUCUUAAGUCUGAUGUGAAAGCCCCCGGCUCAACCGGGGAGGGUCAUUGGAAACUGGGGAACUUGAGUGCAGAAGAGGAGAGUGGAAUUCCACGUGUAGCGGUGAAAUGCGUAGAGAUGUGGAGGAACACCAGUGGCGAAGGCGACUCUCUGGUCUGUAACUGACGCUGAGGAGCGAAAGCGUGGGGAGCGAACAUGAUUAGAUACCCUUGAUAGUCCACGCCGCAAACGAUGAGUGCUAAGUGUUAAGGGGUUUCCGCCCCUUAGCUGCUGCAGCUACGCAUUACGCACUCCGCCUGGGGAGUAC
Molecule: ribosomal RNA, 803 nt
Filed under: Bacillus sp. C1I60
Lineage: Bacteria; Bacillati; Bacillota; Bacilli; Caryophanales; Bacillaceae
Description: bacterial SSU rRNA
Rfam family: Bacterial small subunit ribosomal RNA
Source: RNAcentral